Molecule: ribosomal RNA, 305 nt
Filed under: uncultured bacterium
Lineage: Bacteria
Description: bacterial SSU rRNA
Rfam family: Bacterial small subunit ribosomal RNA
Source: RNAcentral
UUGCUCCUACGGGAGGCAGCAGUGGGGGAUAUUGCACAAUGGGGGAAACCCUGAUGCAGCGACGCCGCGUGGGCGAAGAAGUAUUUCGGUAUGUAAAGCCCUAUCAGCAGGGAAGAAGAAAUGACGGUACCUGAGUAAGAAGCACCGGCUAAAUACGUGCCAGCAGCCGCGGUAAUACGUAGGGGGCAAGCGUUAUCCGGAUUUACUGGGUGUAAAGGGGGCGCAGACGGCGAUGCAAGCCAGGAGUGAAAGCCCGGGGCCCAACCCCGGGACUGCUCUUGGAACUGCGUGGCUAGAGUGCAGGG